Molecule: unclassified non-coding RNA, 1948 nt
Filed under: uncultured fungus
Lineage: Eukaryota; Fungi
Description: sequence contains 18S rRNA gene, ITS1, 5.8S rRNA gene, ITS2, 28S rRNA gene
Rfam family: Eukaryotic large subunit ribosomal RNA (bases 835-1948)
Source: RNAcentral
GGAAGGAUCAUUAACACGUAUCCACGUCACACCCUUCGUGCACCUGUUAUCUACCGCCCCUCUCUUUCACAUGAAUUGGCUACUCGUCAGCUGCUGCAUUGGAUGGGAUUCACCUUCGGGUGAGUCACACGGCUGACUGGAACCGGAUUCGAUUCGUCGGAUCUAACAAUUGUAGUGAGAGUGGAGGAUGACGCUCUGCUGUCGCAUCUCGCCAUUCCAAGAGAGCAAUAGUAGAGGAACUAUUCACCUUUUUCACACCCUUUUUGCUAGUUGACUUUUAUAAUGUUGUUGACUGAGAGAAUUAAUUUUCUCUUCUUUCAUCACACGUUUAAUUACUUGAACGUUAAUAAUACAACUCUUAGCAAUGGAUAUCUUGGUUCUCGCAACGAUGAAGAACGCAGCGAAAUGCGAUACGUAAUGCGAAUUGCAGAAUUCAGUGAAUCAUCAAAUCUUUGAACGCAAAUUGCGCUCUUGGGUAGCCCUAGGAGCACGCCUCUCUCAGUAUCGGUUCAAUCACCGAUCAGCAGCGUUGAUAAUACCAACGUGUUGGCUGGAGAAUGAGAGUCAUAUUGUUACAGAUAUGUCUCUUUAAGAUCAUUGAGUGCUAGUAGCAAAACCACCUCUCAGCUCGACUUCGGUCGAUAGUCCGUCUCGAACGGUCGUCUGACAGUGACGUGAAUACUGACCCUCGCUGGUCUCCUUUUUACGUGUAACUGUGUAAGACGGCAUUAACGUUUAGGAUUGGCGAACGGUAGGCAAGUGAACUCUAGCAUGUAUCGUGGCACUCUUCGUGCUACAAUCGACUGAGGAAUUUAUAUUCUUCCGUCUGAAUUUUGAUCUGAGAUGAAGCGAGACAACCCCCUGAAUUUAAGCAUAUUAAUAAGGGGAGGAAAAGAAACUAACAAGGAUUCCCCCAGUAACGGCGAGUGAAGCGGGAAGAGCUCAAUUUGAAAAUCGAUUACCUAAGCGGGUCAUCGAAUUGUAGCCUAGAGACGUACCAUCAGCUGAAACCUGGGUAUAAGUUCUUUGGAAUGAGGCAUCAUAGAGGGUGAGAAUCCCGUAUAUGACCCAAAGCUUUCAGCGUACGAUGUAUGUUCCUCGAGUCGAGUUGUUUGGGAUUGCAGCUCUAAAUGGGUGGUAAGUUUCAUCUAAAGCUAAAUAAUGGCGAGAGACCGAUAGCGAACAAGUACCGUGAGGGAAAGAUGAAAAGAACUUUGAAAAGAGAGUUAAAAGUACUUGAAAUUGCUAAGAGGGAAGCGCUGAGCAGCAGUGAUAUACGUCGUUCAUCGUCGUCAGCCCCACUGGAAUUGUCGUAUAGUUGGAAACUCUAUAUGGCGGCUCGAAAGGGAGGUUGUCGGUUUAGGACGGCGUGUCAGUCAAGAUCCAUUCGAUGAGUGGGAGAAGGAGUUGAGAAAGGUAGGAGAUCCGUCUCUGUUAUAGUCUCAGCUACAUACCUCGCGUUGGAUGGAGGAAGAAAUAGUGCGCCGCUUGCGGCUUAGUUCCAUGCUCCUACUGGUGCCUGCGAGCUCUGAGAGCAAUGCUCUUUGGGUUUCAGCGUAUUGAUACUGGGUGUGCGAAUUCUAUGUGCUAUCACGAUCUUGUACGAAAUGCUGCUCAUCGACCCGUCUUGAAACACGGACCAAGGAGUCUAACAUCUAUGCGAGUAUUUGAGUGACAAACUCUGAUGCGCAAUGAAAGUAAAGGUAGCCUUGUGCUGCUGAGGUAGGAAUCCGGUCAAACGGAGGCACUAUCGACCGAUCAUCACUUGUGAAAGAUUUGAGUAAGAGCAUAUCUGUUGGGACCCGAAAGAUGGUGAUCUAUGCCUGAACAGGGUGAAGCCAGGGGAAACUCUGGUGGAGGCUCGUAGCGAUACUGACGUGCAAAUCGUUCGUCUGAUUUGGGUAUAGGGGCGAAAGACUAAUCGAACCAUCUAGUAGCUGGUUCCCUC